GAUGAACGCUGGCGGCGUGCCUAACACAUGCAAGUCGAGCGGGAUUUUCCGGAUUGAAGCUUCGGUAGAUUGAAGGAAAUGAGAGCGGCGGACGGGUGAGUAACGCGUAGGCAACCUGCCCUUUGCAGAGGGAUAGCCAUUGGAAACGAUGAUUAAAACCUCAUAAUACCACCUGGUGACAUCACCGGAUGGUCAAAGAUUUAUCGGCAAAGGAUGGGCCUGCGUCUGAUUAGCUAGUUGGUGAGGUAACGGCUCACCAAGGCGACGAUCAGUAGCCGACCUGAGAGGGUGAUCGGCCACAUUGGAACUGAGACACGGUCCAAACUCCUACGGGAGGCAGCAGUGGGGAAUAUUGCACAAUGGGCGAAAGCCUGAUGCAGCAACGCCGCGUGAGCGAUGAAGGCCUUGGGUCGUAAGACUCUGUCCUCAAGGAAGAUAAUGACGGUACUUGAGGAGGAA
This 459-nucleotide ribosomal RNA is filed under the name uncultured bacterium. RNAcentral describes it as "bacterial SSU rRNA". It matches the Rfam family "Bacterial small subunit ribosomal RNA", at positions 28 to 489 of the family's 1533-position model. The record is from RNAcentral.